GACUGUGAAGGCAAUCUGUCUACAUCUGUCACCCCAGUCACUGCACCGGCUGCCUAAGGUGGACCCUUCUUCACGAUUCUUGCACAUCCCUCCAGAAUUUGUAUACUUGUCAGAAAGGACACCCUUCUGGAAUAGAAAAGAACUGUCCUUUGGUCAUGAGUAUACAUGUAACUGUAGUUCUCCCGUAGGAAUCUCCAAAUACAUUCUGAAGGAAUAAUAAAUUUGAAAAUACUUGGUGAGACUCAAAUUCUAUCAAGACAAUCAUAAUAGUGGACAU
This 277-nucleotide small nuclear RNA is filed under the name Peromyscus maniculatus bairdii (prairie deer mouse). RNAcentral describes it as "7SK RNA (ENSPEMG00000001955.2)". It matches the Rfam family "7SK RNA". From Rfam's summary of the family: 7SK was discovered as an abundant small nuclear RNA in the mid-70s but a possible function has only recently been suggested. Lineage: Eukaryota; Metazoa; Chordata; Mammalia; Rodentia; Cricetidae. The record is from Rfam by way of RNAcentral.